GAAGUGUUGAAUCAUAGUCUACAAAGAUUAAAAUAUUUCCUCUUUUCUUAGGGAGGGAAAGACAGGGAUAAUUAACAUUCCUUUGUAGUUUCAAAGUUCAAGAGAUGAGGAAUUUAAGGGAAAAAAAAUCUUUUCUUGUUCUAGGUGAUAAAUCCUCUUUCAUUAUUUCCACUGGGCAACGAGACAUCGGCCAGGACACAGAGCAUUCUGCACACACCAGUUUCUGUCAAUUCAAAACCCAAAACAAUUCUAACCAGAACUUUUGUUUUAAGGGAGGGCCUAUAUCAGGCAUUAUGAUGACAUAGAUUGAUCCAAAAGAUUACUUCUGAUCUAAAUGACUGUAAGGGAAUUUUUUUUUUUCUCUUUCCAGUGAGAUCCUGAUAAGUUAGGCAUGGAACUCUCAGUGUAAAAACUAAGCCAUUGGUGGACCCCUACUUCCUCCUUCACAGUCGUUUAAUUCAUAAAUAUUCAGGAAAUCCUGUAGUUAUAGGAAAGAUCAAUGUCAAGAUCAGAAGUGGUACUGCUUAAGUCUCAUUCAUGGAUGCCUAUAUCCUUAAGGACAAAUGUUUAAUUUUCUUUUCUUUUUGGUAUAUCACUAUUACUUUUAAGAUAUGCCUAUUUUGUUGUUGUUGUUGUUGUUAUUGUUGCUAUUUCUUGGGCCGCUCCCUCUGCAUAUGGAGGUUCCCAGGAUAGGGGUCCAAUUGGAGCUGUAGCCACCGGCCUACGCCAGAGCCACAGCAACGUGGGAUCCGAGCCGAGUCUGCAACCUACACCACAGCUCACGGCAACGCCGGAUCGUUAACCCACUGAGCAAGGCCAGGGACCGAACCCGCAACCUCAUGGUUCCUAGUCGGAUUCGUUAACCACUGCGCCACGACGGGAACUCCAGAUAUGCCUAUUUUUUUAAAUCAGUGGCAAUAAUUCAAAACAAGGAUGACAUUUUACUUCAGGUCAGCCAAGCCCUAGAAACCACAGUUAACUGCAUCAUCUUUCCUGGUAGGAGGAAAACAUACUAAGUUUAACUAGGAAUUGAUAGCACAGAGGAUCGGGAGACCUGUGUUUCUACCACAAACCCAUAUAAGAUUUUGGUGAAAUCAUUUGUUUAUAUAGGUCUUCCUAGACUUAUCAUGGGCUUAUAGCCCAAGAAACCCAUUGUACAUUGAAAAUAUCUUAAGUCUAAAAUGCAUUGAUAUUCCUACUCUACCAAAAUCACAGCCUAGCCUGCUUUAAACAUGCUCAGAAUAUUUACAUUAGCCUAGAGUUGGGCCAAAUCAUCCAACAAAAACCUGUUUUAUAAUGAAAUGUGGAGUAUCUGGGUAAUGUAUUGAAUCCUGUGCUGAAAGUGAGAAACAGAAUGCCCGUCUGGGUGCAGAAGUGGUUGUUUACCCUCAGGAUCACGUGGUCGACAGGGAGCUGUGGGCUCCGUAAAACCGUCCAGUGUCACAAGAGGGUAUCAUACCACAGACCACCACCCAGGGGAAAGAUCCGAAUUCAAAAUCUGAAGGACUGACGGCAUAUAGCUUCUGCACCACUGUAAAUCCGAAAAACCACUAUAAGUUGGGGCCUGAAGGUAUUGCCCUAAACUUUCCAACCCCAAGCUAGGAAUGAUACCCUGGUGUCCUAUAACUCAAAAGUAUUAUUGAAAUUAGCUGAAUAUUUGUGGUGAGAGGACAUUUCAUAAGAGAGAAGAUUUAUAAACUUGCCUAAUAUCUUCCCUCAGGUUGUUUGAUCAAUCUUAUUCUAUAAGAUUCUUCCUUGAAGAAAUUUACUAUGUCACUCAUGCUCGCCUUACUAUAAAGCAAUGAUAUAUCAGCUGUGGCUGGGAAAAGGUUUUUUAACGUAUUCUGCAAGAACAUUACCACUGACCUUAUGCUAUAACCAUCCUUCAUAGGCCAAGCUAAUCCAUGUUCCUUUAGAGAUCCAGAGGAGUUCAUGAAACAUAUCAUGGACCUCCAACCGUUAUGCUCUCUGCGUGUUUUUGUUUGGUUUGGUUUGGUUUUUAUCACUAUGCUUAGUUCUGUUUGUAAUGAGUCUUCUUCUCUCCACUAACAGCCAUCCUACCUCUUCUACUUUGCCUUUGCAGAGUAGGGCCAUGGGGGCUUCAUCGUGGCCACCAUGAUAUGUGCAGCCCCCAGGAAGUUGGUGUGAUGCUCUAAGUUCCUACACACUGGUCUGCUCCAGUGUUUACCAGUUUACUACAACUUCACUGCAGGCCACAAGAAGCAAUGAGAGGAGACUCUGUCUCUUGUUGGGGUCAGGGUUACAGCUUGACUAAACUUUGAUUCUUUACAAUGAGCUGUAACUCCUCCUAACUUUGAGGAGAACCGAUGGACUCAAGAUAAGACGGCAUUAGGACCUUGAGAAGGCAGCACCUUUCCCAAGAUAGGAAUCCCUUUUUAACCACCCAGUGACUCUAGUGUGGAACACUAAAAUAGGAACAACUGGAACCAAAAAAUCCAGAUAGUGCCCCUUACAAUCACUACUGUCACCACCAUGUGACAAUUUCCUUAAUUUCUCAGAACCUCCGUUUUUUUGUUUUUUUGUUUUAUCAUUUCCGUAGGAUUGCUCAUACCAUGCAAAAUCCUAACAUAUGCAGUGGGCACCCAUGAUAUGUUGGGUCUUUCCCCUCCAAAGUAUUUUUAGAGAAUUAGAUCUUUUAAAUAUUAAUAUACAUACAACAGCUAAAAACACUUUUGUAACAAGCAUAAAUCUCUCUCACACACAAACGCACAUAUUUAUUAUGUAAAAUAUAAGAAAGUUUAGACACUUUGAAUUUUUCAUGGUUUCUGUGGGAUUGGGGAUGAGAUGUAGAAUGCAAUGCAAAUGAGAAGAAACAAGGACUUUUAAAAAAAGGUUAUUUUUAGAAAAAUUUUAGGUUUAUACCAAAAUUGAGAGGAAGAAACAAGGAUUUUUGACUUCUAAUGUUUUUGAAAGGCAGAUGUAAGCAGAGGCUGAUGUUUUACAGAAUAAGAUCUUCAGGCUCAAAUAUAACAUCAACAACUGCUCUCUGCCCACAAAGAAUUAGUAUUGUUUGGAUCGUGAAGGAGUAAAUAUUAUGAAUCCCUACUGACCAAUUAGUAGCAUGCGCAAUACAACUACUGAACAAAUAUAGAUCAAAGAAAGAGCAUCUGGCUUUUGGCAAUGAGAGGAUACAUAGCAAAUGUGGUGGGAAAUUAUUCAGGGAACUGCAGAUAAUUUGAGCUGCAUCACUCUUUGUUAAGGAAGCCACCUACAAGGUCAUGUUAUCAUGGAAAAAAAGGUAUUGGAAUAAUUAUCUCCUUUUCCUAAAACAAGUUUCAGUUCCAUUCAAUUCAAGACAUAUUUAUUGAGCACCUACCAGGAAAUCUACUAUGUUUCAGGGACAUUGGCUGGCAUUUGUGGAGAGUAGUGAACCAGGAUGUUGACAAGCACAGACUUUGGUGUCAGGUAGAGAAGGUUUGAAACCCAACUUCAUCACUCACUUGUUUUUUUCUUUUUUCUUUCUUUUUCUUUGUAGGGCCACACCUGCAGCAUAUGGAAGUUCCUGGGCUAGGGGUCAAAUUGGAGCUACAGCAGCAGGCCUACGCCGUAGUCACAGAAACCUCCACCUGAGCCGCAUCUUCAACCUACACACACCCCAGCUUGCUGCAGCAGCGGAUCCUUGACCCACUGAGUGAGGCCACAGAUCAAACCCUCAUCUCACAGACACUAUGUCAGGUUCUUAACCUGCUGAGCCAUAAUGAGAACUCUUAUUUUUUGUUUCUGUUUUUUACCUUGGGAAGUUUGAUAAUUCUCUCUUUCUAGAAACAGACCUAGGAAAGUGAUGUCUAUAGAAAGAGAGAUGGAUAGACAGUCAUUGAGAUACAGUGAUAAAGGGCUAACAACGAUAAAAACCACUGGUUGAGUGAUGCUUGGCAAUUUGCUAAGUACAUUUUAUAUGCCAUUUUUCAUUUUAAUAGAAUACUAAGGCUAAAGAGAUGGGAAUUUCUUUUCUUAUUUCUACAUUAUAAAUGAUUAAAAGUGAUCCGACCAUAAAGAAGCGAUAGUUAAACUUGAAAGAGUAUCUUUGGACCAUCAGUGGUAAAGCAAGGACUUUUACUGAAAGAGUGACUGACACAGCAUGACUUCAUGUCACUUGGCCAUACCGGACUCUGACCAUAGGGUAGGAAGCAAUAAAAUUUUAGCAAGAAUCAGAGGUAAAGAAGCAAUUAAAGCUUUUAGCAAUAUGUGAGAGUAUAUGAGAAAUUAACCUAAAUACAUUUUACUGUAUAUAAACUGUGGAGGUGUAUGCCUGGAUCCAACUCCCUUAAAAGGCAAAAACACCUACACAGGAACUAGUGGGAUAAGCAGAUCUUCCUGGAAUUUUCUUCUGAGAGAAUAGUUCUUUUUACUUCACUUAUUAAUUUUUUUAAGAAACAUGAAAUACAUACAAUUAUAAAGAAGAUUUUCAAUAGUCAUUUUCAGUUUUUAAACUCUAAAGUGCUUUAUUAUAGUCUUUAAUUUGCUCUAACAGGCGCACAUACUUCAUGAUUUGUUGAAGAUAUAAUUGACGUGCAAUCACCUGCAUAUAUCUUAAGUGUACAAUUUAAGUUGUGUAUACAGUUUUGUACAAAAGUAAGUGCAAUUUUAAAGUUUUGACACGUUUGCAACUGUGAAAUCAUCACCCUCAAAGCAUCCUCCCAUCCCGUAUAGUUCAUUCCAUCCCCCCUAUGACCCCAUGUCCAAGCAACUACUGACUUUCUGUCACUAUAGCUUAGUCGCUUUUUCUAGAAUUUUACAUGAAAGACAUCUUACAGUGAGUAUUCUUCUUUUACUCAACACAAUUAUUUUGUAAUUCAUCAAUGUCACUGCCUAUGUCAAUAGUUCAUUCCUUUUUUAUCAUCAAGUACUUUUCUAUUUCAUGGCUACACCACAAUUUGUUUCUCCCAUUCAUUGUAUUUGGAAAUAUGAACUGUUUCCAGUUUGAGGCAAUGGUCAAUGCUCUGAACAUUUGGGUAUAACUCUUUGCAGGAGCAAAUGCUAUCUUUUCUCAUAAGUAAUACAAGGGGAUUGGCUGGAUCAUAUAGAAUGUUGUCAUUUUAUAUAUACUGGAAACAAGUUAUUUGUCAUAUAUAUCUUCUCAAUAUGUUCUCUAGUCUGUCUUUUCAGUCUCUUAAUAGCACUUUUUGAAGAGCUAAUCAUUUUCGUUUUGAUGACAUCCAGUUACUAUUUUUGUCUUUUAUGUUUAAUGCUUCUAGUUUGGAAUCCAGAAAUCUUUGUCUAACUCAAGAUAACAAUAAUUUUCAACCAUGUUUUCUUCAGAAAAUUUUAUCGUUUUAGUUCUGCACAUUUUGUUCUACAAUGCGCUUUGAUGUAAUUUUCAUACACGGUGUCAUCAUAGCUUAAAGUUCAUUUUGGGGGAGAGUUGCCCUUGGAUCUCCAGUUAUUUAUUCCAGAACCAUUUGUUGAAAAGAUGAUCCUUUUCCACUAAAUUACCUUUGUACUUUUGUCAACAUCGAUUGUCCAUAAUGUUGAUACCCACGGGGUUGAUUAUUAUCAUUUUAUAAUAAAUCUUGAAAGAGAUAAUGCAAGUCAUCAAAUUUGUUCUUCUUUUUCAAAUUUGUUUUAUAUAUUCUUAGUUCUAUGCAUUCAAAUACAAAUUUUAGAAUUGUAUUGUCAAUCUUUACAGGAUAGCAUCCAGGAAUUUCGAUUAGGAUUUUUUGGAAUUUGUAGAUCAAUUUUGAGAGAAUUAGCAUAUUAAUAUUAAGUCUUCUAGGGCAUGAACAAGGUAUAGCUCUACAUUUAUGUAGAUAUCUUUUAAUUAUUUCGGGAGGGUUUUGUAGUUUUCAGUGUAGAGGUCUUGUACAUAUUUGGUUUGAUUUACCACUAAGUCAUUCAUAAUUUUUUGCUAUUGUAAAUAGUGGUUUUUUUUUUAAUUUCAAUUUCUGAUCGUUCAUGGCUUGUAUGUGAAAGUACAAUUGACUUUGUAAAUUGGGCUCAUAUUCUACUAUCUUGCAAAACUCACUUCUUGCUCUAGUGGUGAGAGUGGAUAUCGACUGUUGUUUAUCUGAGGAAUGCAAGGUUGACUUCAUAUUUAAAGAUCAGUCAAUGAAAACCACCUUUAUUUAUUUAUGUAUUUAUUUUGGCCUUACUUGCAGCAUAUGAAAGUUCCUGGGCCAGGGACUGAGUCUGAACCACAUCUAUGACCUUUGCCACAGCUGCAGCAACGCCAGGUCCUGAACCCACUGCACCAUGUUGGUGAUUGAACCUGUAUCUCUGCAGCGACUUGAGUCACUGCAGUCGAAUUCUUAGCCCAUUGCACCACAGUGGGAACUCCAAAAAUCACCAUUUAAAUAAAGUAAAAAAGAAAAAAAAUCUCAAAAGAUUAAGGAAAAGCAUUUGACAAAGUCCAAUAUC
Molecule: long non-coding RNA, 6375 nt
Filed under: Sus scrofa (pig)
Lineage: Eukaryota; Metazoa; Chordata; Mammalia; Artiodactyla; Suidae
Description: lncRNA (ENSSSCG00065069207.1)
Source: RNAcentral